AGACUUUGAUUAUGGCUCAGGAUGAACGCUAGCGACAGGCUUAACACAUGCAAGUCGAGGGGCAUCAUGAGGUAGCAAUACCUUGAUGGCGACCGGCGCACGGGUGAGUAACGCGUAUGCAACCUGCCUGAUACCGGGGUAUAGCCCAUGGAAACGUGGAUUAACACCCCAUAGUACUUUUAUCCUGCAUGGGAUGUGAGUUAAAUGUUCAAGGUAUCGGAUGGGCAUGCGUCCUAUUAGUUAGUUGGCGGGGUAACAGCCCACCAAGACGAUGAUAGGUAGGGGUUCUGAGAGGAAGGUCCCCCACAUUGGAACUGAGACACGGUCCAAACUCCUACGGGAGGCAGCAGUGAGGAAUAUUGGUCAAUGGACGAGAGUCUGAACCAGCCAAGUCGCGUGAGGGAAGACUGGCCUAUGGGUUGUAAACCUCUUUUAUAAGGGAAGAAUAAGUUCUACGUGUAGAAUGAUGCCUGUACCUUAUGAAUAAGCAUCGGCUAACUCCGUGCCAGCAGCCGCGGUAAUACGGAGGAUGCGAGCGUUAUCCGGAUUUAUUGGGUUUAAAGGGUGCGUAGGCGGUUUAUUAAGUUAGUGGUUAAAUAUUUGAGCUAAACUCAAUUGUGCCAUUAAUACUGGUAAACUGGAGUACAGACGAGGUAGGCGGAAUAAGUUAAGUAGCGGUGAAAUGCAUAGAUAUAACUUAGAACUCCGAUAGCGAAGGCAGCUUACCAGACUGUAACUGACGCUGAUGCACGAGAGCGUGGGUAGCGAACAGGAUUAGAUACCCUGGUAGUCCACGCCGUAAACGAUGCUCACUGGUUCUGUGCGAUAUAUUGUACGGGAUUAAGCGAAAGUAUUAAGUGAGCCACCUGGGGAGUACGUCGGCAACGAUGCAACUCAAAGGAAUUGAC
RNAcentral lists this ribosomal RNA (908 nucleotides) under uncultured bacterium. Its description in RNAcentral is "bacterial SSU rRNA". It matches the Rfam family "Bacterial small subunit ribosomal RNA", at positions 8 to 914 of the family's 1533-position model. The record is from RNAcentral.